RNAcentral lists this ribosomal RNA (385 nucleotides) under uncultured bacterium. Its description in RNAcentral is "bacterial SSU rRNA". It matches the Rfam family "Bacterial small subunit ribosomal RNA", at positions 30 to 416 of the family's 1533-position model. The record is from RNAcentral.
AUUGAACGCUGGCGGCAGGCCUAACACAUGCAAGUCGAGCGGAUGAGUGGAGCUUGCUCCAUGAUUCAGCGGCGGACGGGUGAGUAAUGCCUAGGAAUCUGCCCUGGUAGUGGGGGACAACGUUUCGAAAGGAACGCUAAUACCGCAUACGUCCUACGGGAGAAAGCAGGGGACCUUCGGGCCUUGCGCUAUCAGAUGAGCCUAGGUCGGAUUAGCUAGUAGGUGAGGUAAUGGCUCACCUAGGCGACGAUCCGUAACUGGUCUGAGAGGAUGAUCAGUCACACUGGAACUGAGACACGGUCCAGACUCCUACGGGAGGCAGCAGUGGGAAUAUUGGACAAUGGGCGAAAGCCUGAUCAGCCAUGCCGCGUGUGUGAAGAAGGUC